GGCAGCAGCUAAGAAUAUUCCGCAAUGGACGAAAGUCUGACGGAGCGACGCCGCGUGGAUGAUGAAGGCCGGAAGGUUGUAAAAUCCUUUUAUGACUGAGGAAUAAGUGAAGUGAGAGAAACGCUUCAUGGUGACUGUAGGUCAUGAAUAAGCAACGGCUAAUUACGUGCCAGCAGCCGCGGUAACACGUAAGUUGCGAGCGUUGUUCGGAAUUAUUGGGCGUAAAGGGUAUGUAGGCGGUUCUGCAAGUCUGGUGUGAAAUGCCGGGGCUCAACCCCGGAACUGCGUUGGAAACUGCAGGACUUGAAUCGCUGAGGGGCAGCCAGAAUUCCAGGUGUAGGGGUGAAAUCUGUAGAUAUCUGGAAGAAUACCAAUGGCGAAGGCAGGCUGCCAGCAGAUGAUUGACGCUGAGGUACGAAGGUGCGGGGAGCAAACAGGAUUAGAUACCCUGGUAGUCCGCACAGUCAACUAUGUACACUGGGUGUCCGUUCAUGAGAAUGGGUGCCGAAGCAAACGCGAUAAGUGUACCGCCUGGGGAGUAUGCCCGCAAGGGUGAAACUCAAAGGAAUUGACGG
RNAcentral lists this ribosomal RNA (575 nucleotides) under uncultured rumen bacterium. Its description in RNAcentral is "bacterial SSU rRNA". It matches the Rfam family "Bacterial small subunit ribosomal RNA", at positions 347 to 916 of the family's 1533-position model. The record is from RNAcentral.